AUGACAUUUGAUAGUAUGGAAGCGGUCGAGGAGUUUUACAAGGCUUAUGCACACAAUGUUGGAUUUUCAGUUCGAAUUGGACAGAAGAAGACUGUAGAUAAUGUGAUGGUCUGGAGGCGUUUCCUUUGUUCAAAAUUAGGAUUCCGAACAGAGAAGGUGGAUGAACCCAGGACGAAUUUGAAUGGAGAGAAGAAAAGAACACAUGCAAGAAAGAUCACUAGAUGUGGUUGUGAGGCCAUGAUAACCGUGAAGCGUACAAAGGAUGGCAAAUACUCGGUAUCAGAUUUUCAUGAAGAACACACCCAUGAUUUUGUCACACCUAGUAAGCAACAUUUAAUCAAGUCUAACAGAAAAGUCAGUGAAAAGGCCAAGGGCACACUAUUCACAUGUCACGCAGCUAGCAUUGGUACAUCUGGGGCGUUUCGGUUGCUUCGUGCUGGUGAGGGCGGAUUUCAGUUUGUGGGGUGCACAAAAAGAGACCUGCAAAAUUAUCAUCGUGACAUGAGAAGUACUUUCAAGGAUUCAGAUGCUCAAAUGUUCAUUGACAACCUCAGGAAGAGGAAGAAAAUCAACCCGGGGUUCUUCUUUGAGUAUGUUCUUGAUGAUAAAAACUGUCUGACACAUGUAUUUUGGGCUGAUGCUUUUUGUAGAAAGAAUUAUGCUUUGUUUGGAGAAAUGGUAUCCUUUGACUCUACAUAUAGCACCAACCAGUACAACAUGAUUUUUUGCCCAUUCACAGGAAUAAACCACCACAUGGGAUCUGUUUUUUAUGGUGCCGCCUUGAUUGUAGAUGAGAAGAUAGAGUCAUAUGAAUGGGUAUUUGAAACGUUCUUGAAAGCAAUGGAUGGGGCAGCACCAAGGCUUAUAGUAACUGAUGAAGACCAAAGCAUGAAGGCUGCAAUUGAACAUAUAAUGCCAAACACUAUCCAUAGGUUAUGCAUGUGGCACAUAAUGAGAAAGCUUUCAGAAAAGGUUGGCCCUCCAUUGAGAGAGGAUGAACAUUUCUAUAGUACAAUUAACUCAUGUGUAUGGGGCUCUGAAAACCCAGCUGAAUUUGAGGCAAAAUGGUCUUCGUUGAUUUCUGAAUUUGGGCUUGGGGAAAACACAUGGUUUGCCAGGAGAUACGAACUUCGUGAAUCAUGGAUACCAGCCUACUUCAGAGGUGUUUUUUUGGGUGAGACUCUAAGAACCACUUCAAGGUCGGAGAGUGCUAACUCGUUUUUCAAUCACUUUAUUGGCUACAAACAUGCUUUGGUGGAGUUUUGGAUUAGGAUUGGUACAGCCCUAGAAGAACAACGUCAGAAUGAACUCAAGGCUGACCACGAGUGCCUCAAUUCUAUGCCUCCAUUGAUUACAUCUUGGGAGAUUGAGAAGCAUGCUAGUCUGGUCUUCACCCAUGAGGUUUUCAAAUAUUUUCAGAAGGAGGUGCGUGCAGCUAGAGAUCAUUGCUUGAUUGAAAGCAUAUCACAGGAAGGUGACGUGAGAACCACGGUUAUAGGUGGUGACCGCUCUUCGAAGUCUCGAGAAGUUCAAUUCAACACAGCAUCCAUGAGUGGUCAUUGCUCUUGCAUGUUAUUUCAGACACGUGGAAUUCCAUGCCGACAUAUCAUUGUUUUUUUGAGAGGUGCAAAGAUGAAUGAGCUACCUAGCCAUUUUAUUCUAGAUAGGUGGAAGAAAACGGUUAACAGGAGGGUACUAUAUGAUAGCUACGACAACUUGCUUGAAGAGAAUGAAAGGUUGUUGCCAAUCAUCCUAGUAGACAAGAUGAGUUUGAGGCAUAUAUUGGUUGUACUAUGCCUAAUCAAGUUGAAAUUCAUCCACCAACAGAUGUCCAUACAAAAGGGAGAUGCAAAAGAAUUAAGGGGCACUUAG
Molecule: ribosomal RNA, 1872 nt
Filed under: Triticum aestivum (bread wheat)
Lineage: Eukaryota; Viridiplantae; Streptophyta; Magnoliopsida; Poales; Poaceae
Description: partial small subunit ribosomal RNA
Source: RNAcentral